UGGGGAAUAUUGCGCAAUGGGCGAAAGCCUGACGCAGCGACGCCGCGUGAGGGAUGAAGGUUUUCGGAUCGUAAACCUCUGUCAGAAGGGAAGAAACCGCACUGUGCUAAUCAGCAGUGCCUUGACGGUACCUUCAAAGGAAGCACCGGCUAACUCCGUGCCAGCAGCCGCGGUAAUACGGAGGGUGCAAGCGUUAAUCGGAAUUACUGGGCGUAAAGCGCACGUAGGCUGCUUUGUAAGUCAGGGGUGAAAUCCCACGGCUCAACCGUGGAACUGCCUUUGAUACUGCUUAGCUUGAAUCCGGGAGAGGGUGGCGGAAGUCCAGGUGUAGGAGUGAAAUCCGUAGAUAUCUGGAGGAACAUCAGUGGCGAAGGCGGCCACCUGGACCGGUAUUGACGCUGAGGUGCGAAAGCGUGGGGAGCAAACAGG
This 429-nucleotide ribosomal RNA is filed under the name Fusobacteriota bacterium. RNAcentral's name for it is "Fusobacteria bacterium partial 16S ribosomal RNA". It matches the Rfam family "Bacterial small subunit ribosomal RNA", at positions 355 to 776 of the family's 1533-position model. The record is from RNAcentral. Lineage: Bacteria; Fusobacteriati; Fusobacteriota.